This 1386-nucleotide ribosomal RNA is filed under the name Babylonia japonica. Its description in RNAcentral is "16S ribosomal RNA". The stretch from base 615 to 1386 matches the Rfam family "Archaeal large subunit ribosomal RNA", at positions 1423 to 2888 of the family's 2987-position model. The record is from RNAcentral. Lineage: Eukaryota; Metazoa; Mollusca; Gastropoda; Neogastropoda; Buccinidae.
UAGAGAUUUUAAUUAAAGUAAAAUAAAUAUUAUUUUAAAUAUUAAUUAUCAAAACAUCAUUAGAUUUAGUAAAGGUGAUUAAAAGUUAUUGUUUACUUAAAAAAAGUACUGUAGAGGAAGGAAUUAAACUGUAAUAAAGAAGAAAUCAAAAUUCGUACCUUUUGUAUCAUGGUUUAACUAGAUUUGCAUUAAAUAUAUAAUUUCUCGAAAUCUGGCGAGCGAUCUUUGUUUGUCAUAUUAGUAAUAAAAGACUAGUUGUAGCAAAAACUUUCUUAAAAUCAAGGAUAGAAAUGAAAUUUUAUUCGCGCUAGAUGAUAGCUAGUUCUUUACCGGAGGCAUAGAAGUGCUUUAGAUUUAAAAUUUUAGUUGGUAAUAUUGAUUACUAAGUACUACAUAAUCUAGGUAGAUUUCUGAGGAUAAGCUCAGAAACAUAUUUAAAUGUAUAGAAAAUUUAUUAUUGAAUUUAAGCUUGAAAAUAGCUAUAAUUUAGAUUUUGUUAUAAUACCACAAAAUGUCUAUAAAUAUAAUUAAUAUACUUUUUCUUCUUAAGUAAAGAAAACUCAAGAAUUCAAAAUGAGUUAUAUCUAUGUUAAAAUGAGUAUUAAAUAAACUAUUAUUUUUAAUUGAAUUGUAAAAGUAAACAUUAAAGAUUUAUUUUAUUUUUAAAUUAUGAAAAGGAACUCGGCAAACCUAUAUUCUGCCUGUUUAUCAAAAACAUGGCUCCUUGUAAAAACUUAAAUGAGGAGUCCGACCUGCCCAGUGAAGGUUUUUAACGGCCGCGGUACUCUGACCGUGCAAAGGUAGCAUAAUCAUUUGCCUUAUAAUUGAAGGCUGGUAUGAAUGGUUUGACAAGAAUAUAGCUGUCUCUUUAUAAUUUGCUAGAAUUUUAUUUAUAAGUGAAGAAGCUUAUAUAAAAUUGAAGGACAAGAAGACCCUAUCGAGCUUUAAAAAAAUUAAUAGACUAAAAAAUUAUUCAUAAAGACAUAAUCUAUUAGACAUUUUAGUUGGGGCGACUGGGGAACAGAAAAAGCUUCCUUUAAAUACAUUAGAUAAACGUACGAGUCUUGAUCCAAAAAUUUUGAUUGAAGGAAAUAGUUACCGUAGGGAUAACAGCAUAAUCUUUUUUAAGAGCCCAUAUCGAAAAAAAGGUUUGUGACCUCGAUGUUGGACCAGAAUAUCCUAAAGAUGUAGCAGUCUUUAAGGGUUGGUCUGUUCGACCAUUAAAAUUCUACGUGAUCUGAGUUCAGACCGGCGUGAGCCAGGUCAGUUUCUAUCCUCAAUUACUUAAAUAGAUUUAGUACGAAAGGACCAGUCUAUUAUAAGAGUUUAUUAAAAUUUGAAGAAAUAUAACGAAAUUUUAAAUAAUAAAUAGGCAGAUAAAUCAGA